Molecule: ribosomal RNA, 450 nt
Filed under: uncultured bacterium
Lineage: Bacteria
Description: partial 16S ribosomal RNA
Rfam family: Bacterial small subunit ribosomal RNA
Source: RNAcentral
GUGGGGAAUAUUGGACAAUGGGCGAAAGCCUGAUCCAGCCAUGCCGCGUGUGUGAAGAAGGUCUUCGGAUUGUAAAGCACUUUAAGUUGGGAGGAAGGGCAUUAACCUAAUAAGUUAGUGUUUUGACGUUACCGGCAGAAUAAGCACCGGCUAACUUCGUUCCAGCAGCCGCGGUAAUACGAAGGGUGCAAGCGUUAAUCGGAAUUACUGGGCGUAAAGCGCGCGUAGGUGGUUCGUUACGUUGGAUGUGAAAGCCACGGGCUCAACCUGGGAACUGCAUGUAAAACUGGCGAGCUAGAGUACGGUAGAGGGUGGUGGAAUUUCCUGUGUAGCGGUGAAAUGCGUAGAUAUAGGAAGGAACACCAGUGGCGAAGGCGACCACCUGGACUGAUACUGACACUGAGGUGCGAAAGCGUGGGGAGCAAACAGGAUUAGAAACCCGAGUAGUCC